Medicago truncatula (barrel medic) is the source of this 412-nucleotide long non-coding RNA. RefSeq lists it as uncharacterized. NCBI's taxonomy places the organism in Eukaryota, Viridiplantae, Streptophyta, Magnoliopsida, Fabales, Fabaceae. The transcript is spliced from 2 exons. The record is from RefSeq and is a predicted model, not a curated record.
UUUACAAGGUUUCAACCAAAUUUUGCUCAAAUGGUAGGAAGCAAAACACUAUUUAACCCCUUCUUUUGUCAGGUGUUUAUGGCUGAUUCGUUACGCUUUCAAUGGUCUCAGAGCAAAGUACCAACUAGCAACAAAUGAGAAUGACAAAAGGCUUGACGUGAAGCAACAAAUGAGAACAACUGAAGACUUGAGGUAUUUAUGACUGAUUAGUUACGCUUUCAAUUAUCUCAAAACAAAAUACCAAGUAGCAAAAAAUGAGAACAAUGGAAGGCUUGAGGUGUAGCAACAAAUGAGAACAACAUAAAGCAUGAGGUGAUAUGUAUUACGCUUUUUUAUAAAUAAAUGUUAGCAUAUUAAUUGUUAUGUUAGUAUUUUAUGUCCAGUGAAAUGAAUUAUACAUCCCCCGCUAGUA